UUAUGAUUUCUCUCCUUUAGAUUAAAAAUCUAAUAAUGCCACUUACACUAAAAUCAAG
RNAcentral lists this transfer RNA (58 nucleotides) under Thaumamermis cosgrovei. Its description in RNAcentral is "tRNA-Lys". The record is from RNAcentral. Lineage: Eukaryota; Metazoa; Nematoda; Enoplea; Mermithida; Mermithidae.